GCAUAUCCAAUAAGCGGAGGAAAAAGAAACUAACAAGGAUUCCCCUAGUAACGGCGAGUGAAGCGGGAAGAGCUCAAAUUUGUAAUCUGGCACUUUCAGUGUCCGAGUUGUAAUCUCGAGAAGUGUUUUCCGCGCCAGACCGCAUACAAGUCUGUUGGAAUACAGCGUCAUAGUGGUGAGAACCCCGUAACUGAUGCGGAUGCCUGGUGCUCUGUGAUACACUUUCGAAGAGUCGAGUUGUUUGGGAAUGCAGCUCAAAUUGGGUGGUAAAUUCCAUCUAAAGCUAAAUAUUGGCGAGAGACCGAUAGCGAACAAGUACCGUGAGGGAAAGAUGAAAAGCACUUUGGAAAGAGAGUUAACAGUACGUGAAAUUGUUGGAAGGGAAACGCUUGAAGUCAGACUUGCUAUUUGGAAUUCAGCCGCAAGGUGUAUUUUUCAAUUCGCAGGCCAGCAUCAGUUUUUGGGGGUGGAAAAGGGUAGAGAGAAGGUAGCAACUCCGGUUGUGUUAUAGCUCUUUGCUGGAUUCAUCCUUGGGGACUGAGGAACGCAGCACGCUUUUUGCAAGGCUUUCGAGCUUUUCGUGCUUAGGAUGCUGGUGGAAUGGCUUUAAACGACCCGUCUUGAAACACGGACCAAGGAGUCUAACAUGCUUGCGAGUAUUUGGGUGUCAAACCCGGAUGCGCAAUGAAAGUGAAUGGAGGUGGGAAGCGCAAGCUGCACCAUCGACCGAUCUGGAUUUUUUAAGAUGGAUUUGAGUAAGAGCAAUUAUGUUGGGACCCGAAAGAUAGUGAACUAUGCCUGAAUAGGGCGAAGCCAGAGGAAAGCUCUGGUGGAGGCUCGUAGCGGUUCUGACGUGCAAAUCGAUCGUCAAAUUUGGGUAAUAGGGGGCGAAAGACUAAUCGAACUAUCUAGUAGCUGGUUCUGCGA
RNAcentral lists this ribosomal RNA (927 nucleotides) under Yamadamyces rosulatus. Its description in RNAcentral is "LSU rRNA". It matches the Rfam family "Eukaryotic large subunit ribosomal RNA", at positions 38 to 964 of the family's 3401-position model. The record is from RNAcentral. Lineage: Eukaryota; Fungi; Basidiomycota; Microbotryomycetes; Kriegeriales; Kriegeriaceae.